Molecule: ribosomal RNA, 474 nt
Filed under: uncultured bacterium
Lineage: Bacteria
Description: partial 16S ribosomal RNA
Rfam family: Bacterial small subunit ribosomal RNA
Source: RNAcentral
AGCGAACAUUGGCGGUAGGCUUAACACAUGCAAGUCGAGCGAGGCGUAAUAGUCGAGCGGCGAACGGGUGAGUAAUACAUGGGAAUCUACCUCGAAGUGGGGGAUAACGUUCAGAAAUGGACGCUAAUACCGCAUAAUCCAUAUUGGGAAAGCGCGCUGCGCUUUGAGAUGAGCCCAUGGCUGAUUAGCUUGUUGGUGAGGUAAAAGCUCACCAAGGCGACGAUCAGUAGCUGGUCUGAGAGGAUGAUCAGCCACACUGGAACUGAGACACGGCCCAGACUCCUACGGGAGGCAGCAGUGGGGAAUUUCGGACAAUGGGCGAAAGCCUGAUCCAGCCAUGCCGCGUGCGGGAAGAAGGCCUUCGGGUUGUAAACCGCUUUUGUCAGGGAAGAAAUCUUCUGAGUUAAUACCUCGGGAGGAUGACGGUACCUGAAGAAUAAGCACCGGCUAACUACGUGCCAGCAGCCGCCGUAA